GGCAGAGUGGCCCAGUGGGUAGGGUACUGGAGUGAGAAUUAGGAAAUCUGGCUUCCAGUCCCAGCUCUGCCG
RNAcentral lists this transfer RNA (72 nucleotides) under Chelonia mydas (Green sea turtle). It matches the Rfam family "tRNA". From Rfam's summary of the family: Transfer RNA (tRNA) molecules are approximately 80 nucleotides in length. Their secondary structure includes four short double-helical elements and three loops (D, anti-codon, and T loops). Further hydrogen bonds mediate the characteristic L-shaped molecular structure. tRNAs have two regions of fundamental functional importance: the anti-codon, which is responsible for specific mRNA codon recognition, and the 3' end, to which the tRNAs corresponding amino acid is attached (by aminoacyl-tRNA synthetases). tRNAs cope with the degeneracy of the genetic code in two manners: having more than one tRNA (with a specific anti-codon) for a particular amino acid; and 'wobble' base-pairing, i.e. permitting non-standard base-pairing at the 3rd anti-codon position. The record is from Rfam by way of RNAcentral. Lineage: Eukaryota; Metazoa; Chordata; Testudines; Cheloniidae.